Molecule: ribosomal RNA, 665 nt
Filed under: Acetobacterium sp. enrichment culture clone SB3-5
Lineage: Bacteria; Bacillati; Bacillota; Clostridia; Eubacteriales; Eubacteriaceae
Description: bacterial SSU rRNA
Rfam family: Bacterial small subunit ribosomal RNA
Source: RNAcentral
AGUGGCGAACGGGUGAGUAACGCGUGGGUAACCUACCCUAUGGAAAGGAAUAGCCUCGGGAAACUGGGAGUAAUGCCUUAUAAGAUAUAUUUGUCGCAUGGCAGAUGUAUUAAACGCUCCGGUGCCAUAGGAUGGACCCGCGUCCCAUUAGCUAGUUGGUGAGAUAACAGCUCACCAAGGCGACGAUGGGUAACCGGUCUGAGAGGGCGAACGGUCACACUGGAACUGAGACACGGUCCAGACUCCUACGGGAGGCAGCAGUGGGGAAUAUUGCGCAAUGGGGGAAACCCUGACGCAGCAAUACCGCGUGAGUGAAGAAGGUUUUCGGAUCGUAAAGCUCUGUUAUUGGGGAAGAAAAAAAGACGGUACCCAAGAAGAAAGUCCCGGCUAACUACGUGCCAGCAGCCGCGGUAAUACGUAGGGGACAAGCGUUGUCCGGAUUUACUGGGCGUAAAGGGCACGCAGGCGGUUUUUUAAGUCAGAUGUGAAAGGUACCGGCUCAACCGGUGACAUGCAUUUGAAACUGAAAGACUUGAGUAUUGGAGAGGCAAGUGGAAUUCCUAGUGUAGCGGUGAAAUGCGUAGAUAUUAGGAGGAACACCGGUGGCGAAAGCGGCUUGCUGGACAAAUACUGACGCUGAGGUGCGAAAGCGUGGGGAGCAAACA